This 557-nucleotide ribosomal RNA is filed under the name uncultured bacterium. Its description in RNAcentral is "bacterial SSU rRNA". It matches the Rfam family "Bacterial small subunit ribosomal RNA", at positions 778 to 1343 of the family's 1533-position model. The record is from RNAcentral.
AUAGAUACCCAGGUAGUCCACGCCGUAAACGAUGGAUGCUAGCUAUUGGGGGGAAUCGACCCCCUCCGAAGCGAAGCUAACGCGUUAAGCAUCCCGCCUGAGUAGUACGAGCGCAAGCUUAAAACUCAAAGGAAUUGACGGGGACCCGCACAAGCGGUGGAGCGUGUGGUUUAAUUCGAUGGUAAACGAAGAACCUUACCAAGGUUUGACAUCCCGGUAGCCGUUCUCCGAAAGGAGAAUUUCAUUUAGUUGGACCGGUGACAGGUGAUGCAUGGCCGUCGUCAGCUCGUGUCGUGAGAUGUUGGGUUAAGUCCCGCAACGAGCGCAACCCUUAUGAUUUAGUUGGAUUUUUCUAAACAGACUGCCCUGGUAACAGGGAGGAAGGAGGGGAUGAUGUCAGGUCAGUAUUUCCCUUACACCUUGGGGCGACACACGCGCUACAAUGGCCGGUACAAUGGGCAGCUAAGCCGCGAGGUGGAGCAAAUCCCAUCAAAGCCGGUCCCAGUUCGGAUUGCAGGCUGAAACCCGCCUGCAUGAAGCCGGAAUCGCUAGUAACC